GGGGCUCUAAGCUGGUUAUAAAUAAACAAUUCACUGUUUAAUAUAAUAACUAAGAUGUUCAAGUGUCUCUCACCCAACAGAGAUUACCAGAAUUCUGCAACCUAUUUCUUUUCAUGUGUUGUGAAGAUAGAUGAAUUCCAUGGGAUAAUUUUCUCUUUAUAGGGAGAGACAGACAGGGAUGAAACGGUGAUGGGCGUUGGCAGUGGUAGAC
This 211-nucleotide unclassified non-coding RNA is filed under the name Hevea brasiliensis (rubber tree). The record is from RNAcentral. Lineage: Eukaryota; Viridiplantae; Streptophyta; Magnoliopsida; Malpighiales; Euphorbiaceae.